AAACAAUGGUUGUCAGGGAGCCAGAAAAAGAUGAGGCUGCUGGGAAAGAACAGGACAAGAAGGUUAUUGCGAAUAAUGAACCAGAAAAGAAGGUGAUUCUGAAUGAACCAGAACCAGAACCAGAACCAAAGAAGAUUAUGAAGGAACCAGAACCUAAGAAGAUUCCAAAUGAACCAGAACCUAAGAGGAUUGUGAGUGCCCACAUGCGAUUUCAUCACAAAAAUGAAAGAAAGCCAGUUUCUGUUCCUCUUACUCUGAAGCAAUCUCCUACAAUUAGAAGGAAUUCCACAAUUCACCGAAAUUUCGCCCAAGCUAAUUC
Molecule: long non-coding RNA, 319 nt
Filed under: Phaseolus vulgaris (common bean)
Lineage: Eukaryota; Viridiplantae; Streptophyta; Magnoliopsida; Fabales; Fabaceae
Description: long non-coding RNA (PVUL_LNC001275)
Source: RNAcentral